Long non-coding RNA from Saimiri boliviensis boliviensis (Bolivian squirrel monkey), 588 nucleotides. RefSeq lists it as uncharacterized. The record is from RefSeq and is a predicted model, not a curated record. Lineage: Eukaryota; Metazoa; Chordata; Mammalia; Primates; Cebidae.
GAGACAAGGAAAUGCUGUCACCGCCGUUAACACGCACGUGGAGCCGUUUGAGGGUUGACUGGCUCUAAGGAAAAGCUGUUUGCUGGCAGACACAGGUGGCUGGUGACAAAGGGGAACGGAUAGCUCAAAAUGAGCCUCACCACUCCUGAACAGAACAACGAUCCUGGCUGUGUCCUCUUGAGGGGAAGACCUGGGUUUAAGUCUCCAUCAACGUCAAGAUAUGGGACCUCAUGGAAGGGAAGAGAGGCAAUGCCGAGGAUGUGCACCUGAGCAGGUGCCCCAAUUCUUCACCUGUAAGCAUUCCGGUUUGGCAGAGAGCAGUGGCUCAGCCUGGCAUGUGGCAUACACUCGUAAUCCUGACUACUCAGAGGCUGAGGUGGGAGGAUCGCUUGAGCCCAAGGAGAUUGAGACUGUAAUGACUGCAUCACUACACCCCAUCCUGGACAACAGAGUAAGACCCUAAAACACUCUAAAACAAACAAACAAACAUUCCAGAUGGAUCUAGCCUAAAUAUUCCUGCUAUAAAGCUAGGCUGCUCUUCCUGUUGUUUUCUUGUCAUUAAUAAUGAUCAUCAUUUUUCUCAUUAAU